This is a non-coding RNA of Myodes glareolus (Bank vole), 413 nucleotides long. The record is from RefSeq and is a predicted model, not a curated record. Lineage: Eukaryota; Metazoa; Chordata; Mammalia; Rodentia; Cricetidae.
GGAAUAUUGGCAUGCUUCUCCCAGGCUUUGAACCUGACAAUGGACAUGAGAAACUCUAUUGAAAUUUUGAAAAAUCUGAAGUUUAGUUGAGAAGACUAUGACUAUAAGAGGAAAGGAAGCCUUGUUAUAUCAGCAGCCUGGAACAGAUAUCAGCUGUCAAUCAAGAAGCGUAAAGCAUUGAGAAACAUCUCUAGUUUGAAGACAGACAAAGUCACCAAGAAUGUUUCUGUGGUGAAUUGUAAUUGAAUACCCAAUAAAGAAAAGUUUGAGGAUACAAAGUGAGGCACAUGAAGGUAACAUCCAAAUGAUGCUUGCAACACCUUAGAGGGCAAAUAACCUUCAGUGGAAAAGUGUCUGAAGAUAAGUGUGGUGUAAGAAUGGCUCUUAACACCACUGCUUGUGAAGGUGGAAUG